GAUGAACGCUGGCGGCGUGCCUAAUACAUGCAAGUCGAGCGAAUGGAUUAAGAGCUUGCUCUUAUGAAGUUAGCGGCGGACGGGUGAGUAACACGUGGGUAACCUGCCCAUAAGACUGGGAUAACUCCGGGAAACCGGGGCUAAUACCGGAUAACAUUUUGAACCGCAUGGUUCGAAAUUGAAAGGCGGCUUCGGCUGUCACUUAUGGAUGGACCCGCGUCGCAUUAGCUAGUUGGUGAGGUAACGGCUCACCAAGGCAACGAUGCGUAGCCGACCUGAGAGGGGGAGCGGCCACAGUGUGACUGGGCCACGGCCCAGACUCCUACGGGAGGCAGCAGUAGGGAAUCUUCCGCAAUGGACGAACGUCUGACGGAGCAACGCCGCGUGAGUGAUGAAGGCUUUCGGGUCGUACAACUCUGUUGUUAGGGAAGAACAAGUGCUAGUUGAAUAAGCUGGCACCUUGACGGUACCUAACCAGAAAGCCACGGCUAACUACGUGCCAGCCGCCGCCGUAA
RNAcentral lists this ribosomal RNA (515 nucleotides) under uncultured bacterium. RNAcentral's name for it is "partial 16S ribosomal RNA". It matches the Rfam family "Bacterial small subunit ribosomal RNA", at positions 28 to 523 of the family's 1533-position model. The record is from RNAcentral.